This 207-nucleotide ribosomal RNA is filed under the name uncultured bacterium. RNAcentral describes it as "partial 16S ribosomal RNA". It matches the Rfam family "Bacterial small subunit ribosomal RNA", at positions 568 to 774 of the family's 1533-position model. The record is from RNAcentral.
CUCGUAGGUGGUUUGUCGCGUUGUUCGUGAAAUCUCACGGCUUAACUGUGAGCGUGCGGGCGAUACGGGCAGACUUGAGUACUGCAGGGGAGACUGGAAUUCCUGGUGUAGCGGUGGAAUGCGCAGAUAUCAGGAGGAACACCGGCGGCGAAGGCGGGUCUCUGGGCAGUAACUGACGCUGAGGAGCGAAAGCGUGGGGAGCGAACA